RNAcentral lists this ribosomal RNA (585 nucleotides) under bacterium LFBA3A. RNAcentral describes it as "bacterial SSU rRNA". It matches the Rfam family "Bacterial small subunit ribosomal RNA", at positions 93 to 691 of the family's 1533-position model. The record is from RNAcentral.
UAUUGGCGAACGGGUGAGUAACACGUGGGCAAUCUGCCCUGCACUCUGGGACAAGCCCUGGAAACGGGGUCUGAAUACCGGAUACUGACCCGCUUGGGCAUCCAAGCGGUUCGAAAGCUCCGGCGGUGCAGGAUGAGCCCGCGGCCUAUCAGCUUGUUGGUGAGGUAAUGGCUCACCAAGGCGACGACGGGUAGCCGGCCUGAGAGGGCGACCGGCCACACUGGGACUGACACACGGCCCAGACUCCUACGGGAGGGAGCAGUGGGGAAUAUUGCACAAUGGGCGAAAGCCUGAUGCAGCGACGCCGCGUGAGGGAUGACGGCCUUCGGGUUGUAAACCUCUUUCAGCAGGGAAGAAGCGAAAGUGACGGUACCUGCAGAAGAAGCGCCGGCUAACUACGUGCCAGCAGCCGCGGUAAUACGUAGGGCGCGAGCGUUGUCCGGAAUUAUUGGGCGUAAAGAGCUCGUAGGCGGCUUGUCACGUCGGUUGUGAAAGCCCGGGGCUUAACCCCGGGUCUGCAGUCGAUACGGGCAGGCUAGAGUUCGGUAGGGGAGAUCGGAAUCCUGGUGUAGCGGUGAAAUGCGC